GCGGCAUGGAUUAGGCAUGCAAGUCGAGCGCGAAGUUCCCUUCGGGGAGCGGAAAGCGGCGAAAGGGAGAGUAACGCGUAGAUAUCUGCCCUCAGGUCUGGGAUAGCCAUCGGAAACGGUGAUUAAUACCAGAUAAUGUCUCAGGACCAAAGAUUUAUUGCCUGAGGAGGAGUCUGCGUCCUACUAGCUAGUUGGUGUGGUAAUGGCGCACCAAGGCGAAGAUGGGUAGCGGGCGUGAGAGCGUGGCCCGUCUCACUGGGACUGAGAUACUGCCCAGACAUCUACGGAUGGCUGCAGUCGAGAAUCUUCGGCAAUGGACGAAAGUCUGACCGAGCGACGCCGCGUGCGGGAUGAAGGCCUUCGGGUUGUAAACCGCUGUCAGUUGGGAGGAAAUAUUAGGGGGUACUCCCCUUAAUUUGACCGAUCUUCAGAGGAAGGACGGGCUAAGUUCGUGCCAGCAGCCGCGGUAAGACGAACCGUCCAAACGUUAUUCGGUAUCACUGGGCUUAAAGCGUGCGUAGGCGGCCUGGUAGGUGAGAUGUGAAAGCCCACGGCUCAACCGUGGAAUUGCGUUUCAAACCACCAGGCUUGAGGAUGGCAGGGGUGAAAGUUUGCCGCUUAACGGUAGAAUUGCCAUUGAUACUGUUUGGCUUGAAUCAGGAUGAGGAUAGCGGAAUGAGACAUGUAGCGGUGAAAUGCAUAGAUAUGUCUUAGAACACCGAUUGCGAAGGCAGCUGUCUAGACCUCGAUUGACGCUGAGGCAC
Molecule: ribosomal RNA, 764 nt
Filed under: uncultured bacterium
Lineage: Bacteria
Description: bacterial SSU rRNA
Rfam family: Bacterial small subunit ribosomal RNA
Source: RNAcentral